This 465-nucleotide ribosomal RNA is filed under the name uncultured bacterium. Its description in RNAcentral is "partial 16S ribosomal RNA". It matches the Rfam family "Bacterial small subunit ribosomal RNA", at positions 338 to 795 of the family's 1533-position model. The record is from RNAcentral.
CCUACGGGUGGCAGCAGUGGGGAAUAUUGCGCAAUGGGCGAAAGCCUGACGCAGCGACGCCGCGUGAGGGCUGAAGGUCUUCGGAUCGUAAACCUCUGUCAGCAGGGAAGAACGGUCACUGUGCUAAUCAGCAGUGAAUCGACGGUACCUGCAAAGGAAGCACCGGCUAACUCCGUGCCAGCAGCCGCGGCAAUACGGAGGGUGCGAGCGUUAAUCGGAAUUACUGGGCGUAAAGCGCUCGUAGGCGGUAUGUCAAGUCAAGGGUGAAAUCCCCGCGCUCAACGUGGGAACUGCCUUUGAAACUGGCAGACUGGAGUGUGUGAGAGGAUAGUGGAAUUCCAGGUGUAGGAGUGAAAGGCGUAGAUAUCUGGAGGAACAUCAGUGGCGAAGGCGACUAUCUGGCACAUAACUGACGCUGAGGAGCGAAAGCGUGGGUAGCAAACAGGAUUAGAUACCCUGGUAGUC